This is a non-coding RNA of Cajanus cajan (pigeon pea), 117 nucleotides long. The record is from Rfam. NCBI's taxonomy places the organism in Eukaryota, Viridiplantae, Streptophyta, Magnoliopsida, Fabales, Fabaceae.
ACCAAUGAUGUUACAAUCCAACUUGUCCCGGAUUGUAGUUUAGCCAAGUCCCUCUUCUGAGGGAGAACCUUCUUGGUGUUGCUACAUUUCCUAUGGCAGAAAAGAUUAAACUGAGGU